This 502-nucleotide ribosomal RNA is filed under the name uncultured bacterium. Its description in RNAcentral is "partial 16S ribosomal RNA". It matches the Rfam family "Bacterial small subunit ribosomal RNA", at positions 28 to 507 of the family's 1533-position model. The record is from RNAcentral.
GACGAACGCUGGCGGCGUGCUUAACACAUGCAAGUCGAACGGUGAAGGGGUCUGCUUUUGUGGGCCCUGGAUGGGUGGCGAAUGGGUGAGUAACACGUGAGUAACCUGCCCCCUUCUUCUGGAUAACCGCAUGAAAGUGUGGCUAAUACGAGAUAUUCCUGGUCUGUCGCAUGAUGGGUCUGGGAAAGACUGCGCCGUUUGGUGUUGUUGGUUGGGGAUGGGCUGGCGGGCUAUCGGCUUGCCGGUGGGGUGAUGGCUUGCCAAGGAGGUGACGGGUAGGGGGCUGGAGGGGAUGGACGGUCAGAGGGGGACUGGGAACCGGCCCAGUCUGAUACGGCAGGCAGCAGUGGGGGAUAUUGCAGAAUGGGCGAAUGCCUGAUGGGGCGAAGCCGCGUGAGGGAUCGAGGCCUUCGGGUUGUAAGCCUCUUUGGCCAGAGAAGCAGGCGUGUGCGAUGUGGGUGGGUUGACGGUAGUUGGAUAAGAAGCGCCGGCUAACUACGUG